ACGCUGGCGGCGUGCCUAAUACAUGCAAGUCGAACGCCUUGUGGUUUUAAUGAAUAGCGUGCUUGCACAAUAUGAUUUAAAACAAUGCAAGGAGUGGCGAACGGGUGAGUAACACGUGGGAAACCUACCUCUUAGCAGGGGAUAACAUUUGGAAACAGAUGCUAAUACCGUAUAACACUAAAAACCGCAUGGUUUUUAUUUGAAAGAUGGUUCUGCUAUCACUAAGAGAUGGUCCCGCGGUGCAUUAGUUAGAUGGUGAGGUAAUGGCUCACCAUGACGAUGAUGCAUAGCCGAGUUGAGAGACUGAUCGGCCACAAUGGGACUGAGACACGGCCCAUACUCCUACGGGAGGCAGCAGUAGGGAAUCUUCCACAAUGGGCGCAAGCCUGAUGGAGCAACGCCGCGUGUGUGAUGAAGGGUUUCGGCUCGUAAAGCACUGUUGUAAGAGAAGAAUGUACUUGAGAGUAACUGUUCAAGUAGUGACGGUAUCUUACCAGAAAGGGACGGCUAAAUACGUGCCAGCAGCCGCGGUAAUACGUAUGUCCCAAGCGUUAUCCGGAUUUAUUGGGCGUAAAGCGAGCGCAGACGGUUAUUUAAGUCUGAAGUGAAAGCCCUCAGCUCAACUGAGGAAUUGCUUUGGAAACUGGAUGACUUGAGUGCAGUAGAGGAAAGUGGAACUCCAUGUGUAGCGGUGAAAUGCGUAGAUAUAUGGAAGAACACCAGUGGCGAAGGCGGCUUUCUGGACUGUAACUGACGUUGAGGCUCGAAGGUGUGGGUAGCAAAC
This 784-nucleotide ribosomal RNA is filed under the name uncultured bacterium. RNAcentral's name for it is "bacterial SSU rRNA". It matches the Rfam family "Bacterial small subunit ribosomal RNA", at positions 33 to 773 of the family's 1533-position model. The record is from RNAcentral.